ACCCAUGGGUGUCCCUCAGUGUCGUGAGUA
RNAcentral lists this non-coding RNA (30 nucleotides) under Rattus norvegicus (Norway rat). Lineage: Eukaryota; Metazoa; Chordata; Mammalia; Rodentia; Muridae. The record is from RNAcentral.